AAAGGUAGCAUAAUCAUUAGCCUAUUAAUUGUAGGCUUGUAUGAAUGGUUGGACGAAAUAAUUACUGUCUCAUUUGUUUUUUUAGAAUUUAAUUUUUGGGUUAAAAGGCUCAAAUUUUUUUAUAGGACGAGAAGACCCUAUAGAUCUUUAUUAUUUUUAUUCUUUUUUUGUUUAGCUUAAUUUUUAUUUUUGGUAUAUUUGUUGUUUUGUUGGGGUGACGUGGAGAUCUAUAUUAACUCUUUAUUUUUUUUUUCAUUUAUUUAUGUUUAUUUGACCUUUUAUUAAUGUUACAANAUUUANAUACCUUAGGGAUAACAGCGUUAUUUUUCUUGAGAGUUCUUAUCGACANAAAAAAUUGCGACCUCGAUGUUGGAUUAAGGUUAUUGUCAGGUGUAGUGGCUUGAUUAUUAGGUCUGUUCGACCUUUAAAUUCUUACAUGAUCUGAGUUCAAACCGGAG
RNAcentral lists this ribosomal RNA (458 nucleotides) under Euobrimus cavernosus. RNAcentral's name for it is "partial 16S ribosomal RNA". The stretch from base 311 to 458 matches the Rfam family "Bacterial large subunit ribosomal RNA", at positions 2473 to 2621 of the family's 2925-position model. The record is from RNAcentral. Lineage: Eukaryota; Metazoa; Arthropoda; Insecta; Phasmatodea; Heteropterygidae.